UACGUAGGGUGCAAGCGUUGUCCGGAAUUAUUGGGCGUAAAGAGCGUGUAGGCGGUCCGGUAAGUCCGCUCUGAAAGUCCGGGGCUCAACCCCGGGAGGCGGGCGGAUACUGUCGGGCUAGAGUCCGGAAGAGGCGAGUGGAAUUCCUGGUGUAGCGGUGAAAUGCGCAGAUAUCAGGAGGAACACCGGUGGCGAAGGCGGGUCUCUGGGCCGAUACUGACGCUGAGGAGCGAAAGCGUGGGGAGCGAACAGG
RNAcentral lists this ribosomal RNA (253 nucleotides) under uncultured bacterium. RNAcentral's name for it is "partial 16S ribosomal RNA". It matches the Rfam family "Bacterial small subunit ribosomal RNA", at positions 524 to 776 of the family's 1533-position model. The record is from RNAcentral.